This 72-nucleotide transfer RNA is filed under the name Ovis aries (sheep). It matches the Rfam family "tRNA". Rfam says of the family: Transfer RNA (tRNA) molecules are approximately 80 nucleotides in length. Their secondary structure includes four short double-helical elements and three loops (D, anti-codon, and T loops). The record is from Rfam by way of RNAcentral. Lineage: Eukaryota; Metazoa; Chordata; Mammalia; Artiodactyla; Bovidae.
UCUUCCUUAGUAUAGUGGUGAGUAUCCCUUCUUGCCACACAGGAGACCAGGGUUCGAUUCCCUGAUGGGGAG